AAGAAAGAUAGAGGCGCAGAAAACAUAAGUAUGAUCAUUUAGUCUGGCAGACAUUGAGAUGAUCAAAAAGGGAAUUCUGCCGAAAUGAAAGAAAAGGCCAAAAUUCUUUUGUUGGUAGUAUAAAAAAUAUUUAUACUACUGUCAUUGAUUAUUUCAGUGGAGUGCUAUCUGUGAU
Regulatory RNA element from Fusobacterium varium ATCC 27725, 175 nucleotides. It matches the Rfam family "Lysine riboswitch aptamer". From Rfam's summary of the family: Riboswitches are metabolite binding domains within certain messenger RNAs that serve as precision sensors for their corresponding targets. Allosteric rearrangement of mRNA structure is mediated by ligand binding, and this results in modulation of gene expression. This family includes riboswitches that sense lysine in a number of genes involved in lysine metabolism, including lysC. The record is from Rfam. NCBI's taxonomy places the organism in Bacteria, Fusobacteriati, Fusobacteriota, Fusobacteriia, Fusobacteriales, Fusobacteriaceae.